CUUUUUCCAUACUUCCUGGUAGCCUUUUCUUGUUUCAUAUGGCCUCUAUCUAAUAUUUCUGUUAGCAGCUGAACUGGAGGAAGAAAACAAAGUUGAUACACUACUGAUUGCAAGUUUAAUCUUUUGAGGGGUUCGAGGCGUGUAUCUGUCACAUUCAAGUUUUCAAGCUGCUGACUGUACUCAAGGAAGAAGAUUUAGUGAUUACCAAAAUCUACAUAGGCUUGUAAAGAAUUGCUAAUGCUUUCCGAAAAGGUUUUGGUACCCUUUUGUUAUAUUGUUUAUCAGCUUAAAUGUUACCAUAACCUUUACUGAAGCCUUUAUAUACAUCCUUUCUUGUGCAGGGAGUAGGGUAAAGUAUAUUGGCCAAAUUACAGAACCUCCAUCUCACACAUUUGUGCAGAGGUACCUUCGUAGCCUUGUUCUCUUUUACUUUGACAUAACAUUUCUGCAUCCUGGAUCUUCUUUGAUCUUUCUUCUUUUUUGGUCACAUUUGUUACAUGAGUUCUGAAGUUAUACAAGAAAUGUUGAAGUUCCUUGUGUCUUUGAGUAGUGAACACUAAAAACCUGUUCCACGCAUACGUGAAAAAAGUGCCUCCUCGCUCGAAAGAAAAGAAAAAGAAAAAAAAAGAAAACCACGUACCCACGUUGUCUCACCUCCUUAUUCCCUUCCCAUCCCACGCCCCUUGCUCUUGAUCUCGUUUUUCUCCUCGCUCCCAGAAGGCCGACGGCGGCGGCACCGGUCAGAUCGGGACAUGACGCGGGACAACGGUCCCCAAUCCCCUCACAGUCGCCGCCGCGAGCUCCUCCUCGUUCCCUCCACUCUCCCAACACCACCUCCUGCCGACCAACAGCGCCUCCUAGCCUCCUCCUCCUCUUCAUCAUUCAUGUCCUCGUCCUCACGCGACAUCCCUUCGUCACUGGCACUGCGGUUGUGCUCGGCAUAAGGAGUGGUUGUGGUGUGGCAGAUGCGUGAGGAGGAGGAGGAGGAGGAGGUCGUGGUCAUGGCGACGCGAUGGAGGUCGUGGCCGGCUGGCGCAUGACAUCAGCCUGUGACUCGAUUGGUCGAGGCGGAGAUGCCAACACGCGGGGUCGCGGUCGAGCUGGGCGUGAGGAGAGCGAGGAGAGGAAGGGGAAGGGUGGGAGGCGCGAGGACGACGACGCUCCAGCUACGGGGCUCGCCAGCCAUGCGGUGCUGGGCGUGGAGGACCCAGACCCCCUCUUGUUCGCUGCCGCCAUGAUCUUGCUCGCCAUCGACCUCCCCGGGUGCUUUUCUCCCUAAAUGGUGCCUACAUGGACAUAUCGAUUCAAGCGCCAGGUGAAGACACCCCUCACUGUCCAAAUGUGCUUCUCUACAUGGGUGUUGUCACCGCGACUAGUUUGACUGUUCAAGCCAAGGUGAAAAUAUUGUCCUCCCUUUAUUUCUCAAUUGUGUGAGAUAUGAUUUUAUUCAUAAUUUAUGUGGAUCUUGAAGCACAUGAACAAGAAAUUGGAGAUGAUUCUUUAUCCAUGGGAUCUUCCAAAAACAGAAAACAACACAACAAAGUAUUUACUAUAAAUUGUACCAUAUUCAGAUAUUUUGUUUGCUUGCUUGGAAAUCCCAAUCAGACUUUUGCUUUCAUUCUAUUACAUGUAAAUGAAUUACUUAAGUAAUGUUAGACCUCUUAUCAGAUUAUAUCCUUUGUAGCUAACUGAUGUUGCUCUAUUUUACUUGCAGGGUUGCAAUAAAUCUUCACAGACCAUAUUUAUUAUCUUGAGGAUCACUGAAACAAUUGCACUGCAAAAUACUAUGCCUUUCUUUCAUGGUAUGGCAUCUUAGUUCUUUUCAUUUGUCACAUUCAGUACUAAUAAGAUGCUUCUACUACUCUACAAUUUUAUAAACCAUGUGAUUUUGUUUAGGAUUUGAGUGGAGCUUGAAUCAAUCAAAUCAGCCUAGAAGGUGCUUCUUUUCUCGAUGGAGGCUUAAAGAUAUUUAUGGCAGCCUGCUCCAUGUAGGUUUUGCAGCGAAAAACCGAAGAAGUUGUGAUGGACACAAAAAGACUGAAAGAUUUGCACGAAGCGAAGAUGUCCACCCGGUAUACAUAUGGUUAGAAGUUUAGGGUGACUUCUUUUCAGUUGCUGUUGAGAUAUUUAUGUGAUCAUAGAUAAACAACCCAUGAAGUUACUACCUUUUGGUUUUGAUUUAUAAAUUUUAAAUUGGACAAUCU
RNAcentral lists this long non-coding RNA (2204 nucleotides) under Hordeum vulgare. Its description in RNAcentral is "long non-coding RNA (HVUL_LNC019941)". The record is from RNAcentral. Lineage: Eukaryota; Viridiplantae; Streptophyta; Magnoliopsida; Poales; Poaceae.